Molecule: ribosomal RNA, 433 nt
Filed under: uncultured bacterium
Lineage: Bacteria
Description: partial 16S ribosomal RNA
Rfam family: Bacterial small subunit ribosomal RNA
Source: RNAcentral
AACGAACGCUGGCGGCAGGCCUAACACAUGCAAGUCGAGCGAGGACUUCGGUCCUAGCGGCGGACGGGGGGGUAACGCGUGGGAACGUGCCCUUUGCUUCCGAAUAGCCCUGGGAAACUUGGAUUAAUACCGGAGGAGCCCUUUGGGGGAAAGAUGUAUCGGCGAAGGAUCGGCCCGCGUUGGAUUAGGUAGUUGGUGGUGUACUGGCAUACCAAGCCGACGAUCCAUAGCUGGUGUGAGAGGAUGAUCAGCCGGACUGGGACUGAGACACGGCCUAGACCGGUAGGGGAGGCAGCAGUGGGGAGUCUUAGGGGAGGGGGGAAGACGUGAUCAAGCCAUGCGGCGGAAGAGAGGAAGGGGUUAGGGUUGUAAAGCUGUUUCAGAUGGGGAGAGAAUGACGGUAAUGGCAGAAGAAGCACCGGCUAACUCCGUG